GCCAUUCUUGAUAUUAGAUGCUGGAGCCCUGUAGAGAAUGAAGUCUAGAGAAUGAAGACUGAAGAUUGGAGAGAACGGUGAUGCAGAAAAUCAAAAGAAAGGAAAAGGAAGUUAAUGUGUAGAACAGAACUAGGUUAGGCUCCGCCCCUGCAUACCUGCGGCCAUUCAUAAUCUAGUGGAAAUAAAAGGGGAGAGUAACGAGCGAAGAGGGGGCCUGAGUUUGCACUAUUUCCACACAGAACUCCAGUCAGCAGGUCACGGCCACUACCCCUGGCUUAGCUUCCAGUGAGCGCGGCACCCACUGGAGGGAAGCUCUUUCUUCCUCUCUUCCAUCACAUUCGUGUUGACGUUUUGUACCGAACUGAGCUUCAUGUGUGCGUCUUGCCCAGGUGUUGCUGAUCGCUAUGUUCUUUUUGGUUUCCAUUGUAUUCUCCUUUUUGUUCAGUGUUGUGUGUGUUCAUGAAUGGUUUAGGGAAGUAACUAGUUGCCUGUGAUGCGUGAGUGCAGUUAAUUAAUUAAUAAACUGAUAAAACUGUC
Molecule: long non-coding RNA, 537 nt
Organism: Tachysurus fulvidraco (yellow catfish)
Lineage: Eukaryota; Metazoa; Chordata; Actinopteri; Siluriformes; Bagridae
Exons: 2
Source: RefSeq, a predicted model, not a curated record